RNAcentral lists this ribosomal RNA (579 nucleotides) under Lacellina macrospora. RNAcentral's name for it is "eukaryotic LSU rRNA". The stretch from base 218 to 371 matches the Rfam family "5.8S ribosomal RNA". The record is from RNAcentral. Lineage: Eukaryota; Fungi; Ascomycota.
AGAGGAAGUAAAAGUCGUAACAAGGUCUCCGUAGGUGAACCUGCGGAGGGAUCAUUACACGAGGCGCGGACCCCCCUCGGGGGGCGAGCGCCGCCUUCACACCCAUCCUUUGCCUACGCGUACCCCCAUAGCUUCCUCGGCAGGCCCGCCUGCCGCCAGGAACCGACCAAACCCCUUGCAUGUACACAAAACCUCCGAUACCAACACGAAUUAUCACAACUUUUAACAAUGGAUCUCUUGGUUCUGGCAUCGAUGAAGAACGCAGCGAAAUGCGAUACGUAGUGUGAAUUGCAGAAUUCAGUGAACCAUCGAAUCUUUGAACGCACAUUGCGCCCCUCGGUAUUCCGUGGGGCAUGCCUGUUCGAGCGUCAUUUUACCCCUCAAGCCCAGCUUGGUGUUGGGCGUCUGUCCCGCUCUCGCAGCGCGGACUCGCCCCGAAGACAUUGGCGGUGGCCCUGUCGGCUCCUCGCGCAGUACAUCUUGCGCGUCUCGGAGGCCCGGCGGACCCCGCCAGCAAGCUUACCCCACGAAUUGACCUCGGAUCAGGUAGGGAUACCCGCUGAACUUAAGCAUAUCAAU